UGGGGAAUAUUGGACAAUGGGCGAAAGCCUGAUCCAGCCAUGCCGCGUGUGUGAAGAAGGUCUUCGGAUUGUAAAGCACUUUAAGUUGGGAGGAAGGGCAGUAAGCGAAUACCUUGCUGUUUUGACGUUACCGACAGAAUAAGCACCGGCUAACUCUGUGCCCGCAGCCGCGGUAAUACAGAGGGUGCAAGCGUUAAUCGGACUUACUGGGCGUAAAGCGCGCGUAGGUGGUUCGUUAAGUUGAAUGUGAAAGCCCCGGGCUCAACCUGGGAACUGCAUCCAAAACUGGCGGGCUAGAGUAGGGCAGAGGGUGGUGGAAUUUCCUGUGUAGCGGUGAAAUGCGUAGAUAUAGGAAGGAACACCAGUGGCGAAGGCGACCACCUGGGCUCAUACUGACACUGAGGUGCGAAAGCGUGGGGAGCAAACAGG
Molecule: ribosomal RNA, 429 nt
Filed under: Pseudomonadota bacterium
Lineage: Bacteria; Pseudomonadati; Pseudomonadota
Description: Proteobacteria bacterium partial 16S ribosomal RNA
Rfam family: Bacterial small subunit ribosomal RNA
Source: RNAcentral